GGGCACAUGGUGUAGUUGGUUAUCACGCUCGCUUAGCAUUUGCUAGCCUGCGAGAGGUGUUGGGUUCAAUUCCCAAUGUGUCCA
This 84-nucleotide transfer RNA is filed under the name Ephemerocybe angulata. Its description in RNAcentral is "Coprinellus angulatus tRNA". It matches the Rfam family "tRNA". From Rfam's summary of the family: Transfer RNA (tRNA) molecules are approximately 80 nucleotides in length. Their secondary structure includes four short double-helical elements and three loops (D, anti-codon, and T loops). The record is from Rfam by way of RNAcentral. Lineage: Eukaryota; Fungi; Basidiomycota; Agaricomycetes; Agaricales; Psathyrellaceae.